Molecule: non-coding RNA, 3007 nt
Organism: Ictidomys tridecemlineatus (thirteen-lined ground squirrel)
Lineage: Eukaryota; Metazoa; Chordata; Mammalia; Rodentia; Sciuridae
Source: RefSeq, a predicted model, not a curated record
CCAGCUCCCAUAUUCUAGUGCUUCCUCCUGGAGCUUCGGUGUUUCCUUUACAGAGGAGCCUCCCUAUCCCACUAUGAAAAACCCCUUUCAAUACAGAACAAAGAACAUGGAGCUCUGAGGCUAAACUGGUAUCAGCUCUCAAGGGCAAGAAACUAUUUUUCAAACCAUCCUGAUUAAGGGAAUGGAAAGGAAAGCCUAGACCACUGGAACUUCUCUCACUCGUGUCUGCAAGGCCUGAGGUAAAGAGACACUCUGGUACUUACUGUGCUGCAGGACUGGAUCUUAACUCUUUCUUCUAGACCUAAUUGUGUGCCCCCACCUCACUGAGAAUUUCUCCACUAGUGACUCUGCAACUUAUUUGUUCAUCUUGUUCUCACCUUGUCCUUUGGAUUGGAAGUGCAUCAGUUUUCUUCUGAUUUAUGACUUGGCAUCUCCAGACUCCCCCAUACUACUGAUUUCUUCAAUGACCAACUCAAGAAAUACUCUCCCAAGUUCAAUUAGGAAGGGAAAUGAUGCUCCCACCAGACUUGUUCCAAGCAUGAGCUGGAUCUCAGAUACCCUGUUUUCUAAAAGUAAAUUAAUUUUGCUAAUUAAAUGUUGAAUUGUGGGAGCUGGUGGGAUGGAUAGAAUCAGAAACCAAUCUAGAUGUGGGCUUAGUGCUGAAUGCUUUAGAUAAAUCAAAGUCUUUGUAGAAUCACAAUAUACAUUGAUAGAAAACCUGUAACUGAUAUUUGCAGCUAGUACAUUAAUAUUUGCAGUUGUUAGGCUCUUUAAAUAAUUUUUAUAACUAAGAUAAAUUGACUAUAACUGUGAACAACAUAACUUUCCUUAAAGAUUCUCUAGCAGAAGGAGCAAGAAUCUUUAAGGUAGAGAAAAAAGUAUGAGUAUUAAGACUGGGUUCACCUAAGCAGAGUGAGUCAGGAAUCUACGACAAUCUGUUAUCAGUCAGAAUUACAUCUGGCUGCAAGUAUCAGAGGCACAAAAUAACAGUGGCUUUACCAAAACGAACCUUUCUUUUUCUUUCAUGUAAAAGUCUAGAAAUAGGUAGUCUUUAAAGUCAUCAAGGAGUCAGGCUCCUAUUGUCUUUACAGUAUUUAGUGUUCCAUCUCAAGGUUCAAAGUGGUCACUGAAGUUUCAGUUGUCACAUUUGCCUUCCAGACAAGAAAAAGUAUAUUAUAUAUGUACUUUUGCUUAUAUCACAUUAGAUAAUACUUAAUCAUAUGGACAUACCCAACUGAUAGAGAAGCUGGAAAUGUCUUCAUAUCAGGUUGCUAUGUGUCCAGCUAAAAAUCAGUAGUAGUAGAAGAAGGAAGGAGUAGAUGUUAAGGAAUAGACAAAUAUGGUGUAACUGGGGACUACUGGGCAAAUUACCCAUGAGCACUGCAUGCAAACAAGUCCCUCAAAAUCUGUCUUCCAACAUUAUAUAAAUAAUCUGAAGUAUGCAUUAUAUCAUUUUUAGAACAUUUUUGUAAUAAAACCAAAAGCACAACUCUCUAGAAUCAAAUUGCAAGUUAUUACUCUUUUUAUUUUAAUUUUUUUUCCUGUGGUACUGAGGACUGAAUCAGAGGUGCUUUGCCAUCAAACUAUACUCACAGCCCUUUUAUUUUUUUAUAUUGAGAGAGGGUUUUCCUAAAUUGCCCAGGCUGGCCUCAAUUAUGUGAUCCUUCUGCCUCAGCCUCCCCAGUAGCUGGGAUUGCAGAUGUGUGCUGCUGUGCAUGGCUACCAGUUAUUACUCUUAAUGUGGGAGUUGAGAAUGAAGAAGAGUGAGAGAAUGCUGGAAAUAAAGGACCUCAGAGAAGUAGGCAUGAACGGACCUUGGAAGUGUAACAGCAUCCUGUCACAGUUUGAGGAAUGAGUUUGAUCAUUGUCAGUGAAGUUACUCUGAAUUGCAGAUUUGGGACUUGUAUUUUGUUCUGAUUCUCCUAAACAACAUUUCUGUACUUGGGUUCACAAAUCAGGGGAACUGAAAUUUCAACUCAAAAGCAUAACAUUUUUUUUUUCUAAAGGAGUAUUUUUCUCCUCCAAAAUAAGGCAGUUUCAAUCCUUUCUUGCCAUUUCCUGCAGCAAUAAUAUAUUUACCCAGUGGUGCUCUAAGUUAACCUAAUACGCUUAACUGGCUAUUAAGGAGUGAUUUAUGUACCUCGAAAAAUAGUCUGCUGGUCGGUGUGAAAAAAAUCCAAAAGAACUUUGCCUGUGAACCACCAGAUGACUCUUCAUCAUAUGCUGGCCUCACUAUUCCCUCUGAAGGACCAUGACACCUGAACCCCUUGAAGGUGGAACUCUAUUUCAUGGUAUCCCAAGUGCCCAGCCUGUUGUUUCUCAUAAAAUUGGCUCUCAAAACUAUUUGUUGAAAUCUCAAGAUGGUGCAUCAGAGAUAAAAACAACAACAACAAAACACAUAACAAAAAUUAAUAGCAUAGCUUAGGGUUAGUUCUAGAUCAUUUCUAAUAGCUCUAAGAGAAAAGAAAGUUCAGAGUAAGGUAGUGCUGAGAAGGCUUUUAAGUUUUUAUACAAGAAGUGAUGAGGGGUAAAUAUUUACUGUAUUUGACAACUGUUCUUCAGUGUGAAAAAUCCACAGGUGUAAACCACAACGAAGCAAAGAAAACCUCAUCUAUCGGAGCCUAAGCAUUUUACCAGGCUGGACUGUAGGACACAUGAUUAUUCCUUUUGCUGCUUCUGUUUGCCAGUUCUGCCCAUUUGCCAAAAUAAAGACGUUCUUUCUCAGGUCAAACCUCAGCUGUGAGAGUAAACUAAUGACUUCAGAAUGGGAGACAGAUGCUUCCUGCAGGAGGAUUCCAGGGCAGACAAAGGAUAUGUAACCAGAACUAGUUACAGAAAAUGUGAGACCCAGUGCAAAAGGAAAACAUGGGGCCCCUUGUUUAAAAAUCAGGGGAAUGUUAUUAAAGUUUCUAAAACAUAAAGCUUUUUUCUCUCUUCCACAGUCAUUUUGUUGUUUUUGUUGUUGUUGUAUAAUGCUGAUCUAAGUAAAGAACAAUUAAAAAUUUAA